CCUANGGGCGGCUGCAGUGAGGAAUUUUCCGCAAUGGACGAAAGUCUGACGGAGCGACGCCGUGUGUGUGAUGAAGUCUUUCGGGAUGUAAAACACUGUCGAGGGGGACGAUAAUGACGGUACCCCUGGAGGAAGCCCCGGCUAACUACGUGCCAGCAGCCGCGGUAAUACGUAGGGGGCGAGCGUUGUCCGGAAUUAUUGGGCGUAAAGGCGUGUAGGCUGUUCUGUAAGUUGGAUGUUAAAGGUAUGGGCUCAACUCAUACAUUGCGUUCAAUACUGCAGUUCUAGAGAUUGGUAGAGGAAAACGGAACUUCCGGUGUAGCGGUGAAAUGCGUAGAUAUCGGAAGGAACACCAGUGGCGAAGGCGGUUUUCUGGGCCAAUUCUGACGCUGAGGCGCGAAAGCUAAGGGAGCAAACAGGAUUAGAUACCCCANUANUC
RNAcentral lists this ribosomal RNA (439 nucleotides) under uncultured bacterium. RNAcentral describes it as "bacterial SSU rRNA". It matches the Rfam family "Bacterial small subunit ribosomal RNA", at positions 338 to 795 of the family's 1533-position model. The record is from RNAcentral.